UCUUCAUUUGGUUUUUCACAGUGUUUCAAUUCCCUUUUUCUUUCAUCUGGUUAACAGAACUGUAUACAAUUAUCUGAAGUGUGGUCUAAACGAGCCUGGAUGCAGGGUUGAAAAGAUUCGGUCGUGUUAAUGCACUGAAGUUACAUGAUGUUCUGGGGAGUCAACACGUGAGGAAAAAUUAUUUUAAACUUCAAGUUUCCGGGAUAGGUCCGCAAACACAUUCGCAAAAAUAUUGCUCACUUCCUGAGACCUCAAACUCUUUGGGAAUAUUCUGCCUGGAC
This is a non-coding RNA of Chiloscyllium plagiosum (whitespotted bambooshark), 281 nucleotides long. The record is from RefSeq and is a predicted model, not a curated record. NCBI's taxonomy places the organism in Eukaryota, Metazoa, Chordata, Chondrichthyes, Orectolobiformes, Hemiscylliidae.